Molecule: ribosomal RNA, 507 nt
Filed under: uncultured bacterium
Lineage: Bacteria
Description: bacterial SSU rRNA
Rfam family: Bacterial small subunit ribosomal RNA
Source: RNAcentral
CGGCGUGCCUAAUACAUGCAAGUCGAACGGUCUUUCUAUGGAAGCUUGCUUCCACUGAGAAGAUAGUGGCGAACGGGUGGAGUAACACGUGGGUAACCUGCCCAUAAGAGGGGGAUAACAUCCGGAAACGGGUGCUAAUACCGCAUAGUUUUCUUGAUCGCAUGAUUGAGAAAGGAAAGACGGCCUUUGUGCUGUCGCUUAUGGAUGGACCCGCGGCGUAUUAGUUAGUUGGUGAGGUAACGGCUCACCAAGACGAUGAUACGUAGCCGACCUGAGAGGGUGAUCGGCCACAUUGGGACUGAGACACGGCCCAAACUCCUACGGGAGGCAGCAGUAGGGAAUCUUCCGCAAUGGACGAAAGUCUGACGGAGCAACGCCGCGUGAGUGAAGAAAAGGUUUUCGGAUCGUAAAACUCUGUUGUCAGAGAAGAACAAGUUGGAGAGUAACUGCUCCAGCCUUGACGGUAUCUGACCAGAAAGCCACGGCUAACUACGUGCCAGCCGCAGC